Molecule: long non-coding RNA, 233 nt
Filed under: Hordeum vulgare
Lineage: Eukaryota; Viridiplantae; Streptophyta; Magnoliopsida; Poales; Poaceae
Description: long non-coding RNA (HVUL_LNC003038)
Source: RNAcentral
UACAGCUACUACAUACAUAGCUAGCACACCUCCAGGGUAUCGCUAAAGCUAUCGACCCGACCUUGAGCUCAGACCGCCGCGCCGCCUGCGCCUUCCGCUCCUUGGUUGCCGCCGCCGGCACCGCCCUGCGGGUGCCGCCAAGCCCGAAUCCCGUUCAUCAUGAUGUGGCCGACGAGGGUUAGGAUGCCCCCAAUGACCGCGAGACCAGGGAUGGUCAUCACGCCGCAAACAAA